RNAcentral lists this ribosomal RNA (200 nucleotides) under uncultured bacterium. RNAcentral's name for it is "partial 16S ribosomal RNA". It matches the Rfam family "Bacterial small subunit ribosomal RNA", at positions 28 to 244 of the family's 1533-position model. The record is from RNAcentral.
GAUGAAUGCUGGCGGCGUGCCUAACACAUGCAAGUCGAGCGGUAAGGCCCCUUCGGGGGUACACGAGCGGCGGACGGCUGAGUAACGCGUGGGAACAUGCCCCAAAGUGAGGGAUAAGCUCCAGAAAUGGAGUCUAAUACCGCAUAUGGUCUUCGGAUUAAAGGAUUUAUCCGCUUUGGGAGUGGCCAGCGUACGAUUAG